GGUUAAGUUACUAAGGGCACAUGGUGGAUGCCUUGGCACAAGAAGGCGAAGAAGGACGCGGCUACCUGCGAAAAGCUACGGUGAGACGGAAGCAGUCUCCGACCCGUAGAUCUCCGAAUGGGGCAACCCAAAUGAGGUAAUACUCAUUUAUCUCUACCUGAACACAUAGGGUAGUUGAGGCUAACCCAGGGAACUGAAAUAUCUAAGUACCUGGUGGAAGAUAAAACAAUAGUGAUUUCCUGAGUAGUGACGAGCGGAAGGGAAAGAGUCUAAACCGACCAAUCUGUUAAUGGUGGCAACCUUAGGAUUGGCGGGGUCGAGGGACAUAUUUAGAGUCUAUUGCCAAUGACUCGAAGAGUAAAAAAUCGUAAUAUUAGUUGAAUGACCUGGGAAGGUCAACCAUAGAAAGUGACAGUCUUGUAAGCGAAAAUACUACGACUCUUUGAAAUAUGUUCCCAAGUACCACGAAAUAAGUGGAAGUUUGUGGGAAUCCGGGAGAACCAUCUCCUAAGACUAAAUACUCUCUUGUGACCGAUAGUGAACCAGUACCGUGAGGGAAAGGUGAAAAGAACCCUUAUUAAGGGAGUGAAAUAGUACCUGAAACCAUGUGCUUACAAACGGUUGGAGUCCCGAUUUAUCGGGAUGACAGCGUGCCUUUUGGAUAAUGAGCCUACGAGUUACUCGUCUGUUGUUGGUUAAGUUCUUCAGGAACGUAGCCUUAGCGAAAGCAAGUCCUAACAGGGCGUAUAAAAUAACAGGCGGUAGACGCGAAACCGGGUGAUCUACCCUUGGUCAGGAUGAAGUGAGGGUAAAACCUCAUGGAGGUCCGAACUAGUGUGGGUUGAAAACCGCUUGGAUGAACUGAGGGUAGGGGUGAAAGGCUAAUCAAACUCGGAAAUAGCUCGUUUUCCUCGAAAUAGCUUUAGGGCUAGCCUCGGACUAUAGUAUUAUGGAGGUAGAGCACUGAUUGGGCUAGGGCUGUCACAACGGUACCAAACCCAGACAAACUCCGAAUUCCAUUAAUAUGUUCUCCGGGAGUCAGGCUGCGAGGGAUAAGCUCCGCGGCCAAGAGGGGAACAACCCAGACCAUCAACUAAGGCCCCCAAGUCACAGUUAACAGAUAAAGGAUGUUGAGUUGCUUAGACAACUAGGAUGUUGGCUUAGAAGCAGCCAUUCAUUUAAAGAGUGCGUAAUAGCUCACUAGUCAAGCGACUCGGCGUCGACAAUAAACGGGACUUAAACUGUGCGCCGAAGUUAUGGAAUAGAAUUAAUUUUUUAUUGGUAGAGGAACAUUGUAACAGCAGUGAAGGUGUAUCGUGAGGUAUGCUGGAGCGGUUACAAAAGAAAAUGUAGGCAUAAGUAACGAUAAAACAGAUGAGAAAUCUGUUCACCGCAAGUCUAAGGUUUCCUGAGCUACGUUAAUCGACUCAGGGUUAGUCGGGUCCUAAGCUGAGGCCGAAAGGCGUAGGCGAUGGGUAACGGGUUAAUAUUCCCGUACCGGGUAAAGACUGUUUGACUGUAAGGAGUGACGCAAAAGCGUAAGGUCAGCCAACUGGUGGAUCAGUUGGUUUAAGGUGGUAGGCUGAGAGGUAGGCAAAUCCGCUUCUCAUUAAGGCCGAGAGCCGAAUACGGGAGCAUAUAGCUCGAAGUGGCCCCAAGCAUGUUGCCGAGAAAAACUUCGUACAGGAGGUCUUUGUCCGUCCGUACCGCAAACCGACACAGGUAGACGGGAUGAGUAUUCUAAGGUGCUCGAGUGAGCCGUAGCUAAGGAACUCGGCAAAUUAACCCCGUAACUUCGGGAUAAGGGGUGCCCCUUUUGGUGAAUUAUUCACUAAGUAAACUAAGGGGGGCCGCAGUGAAAUGGCCCAAGCGACUGUUUAACAAAAACACAUGACUCUGCGAAGUCAAUCAAGACGAUGUAUAGGGUCUGACACCUGCCCGGUGCCGGAAGGUUAAGAGGAGAGGUCAGCGCAAGCGAAGCUUUGAAUCGAAGCCCCGGUAAACGGCGGCCGUAACUAUAACGGUCCUAAGGUAGCGAAAUUCCUUGUCGGGUAAGUUCCGACCUGCACGAAUGGUGUAACGAUUUGGGCGCUGUCUCAGCUACGGGCUCGGUGAAAUUGUGGUACCGGUGAAGACGCCGGUUACCCGCAUAUGGACGGAAAGACCCCGUGCACCUUUACUGCACCCUAAUAUUGGGUUCGGUUAAAGCAUGUGUAGGAUAGGUGGGAGACUAUGAAGCUGGUACGCUAGUAUCGGUGGAGUCAACGGUGAAAUACCACCCUUGUUUUAAUUGGAUUCUAACCUCGAUCCGUGAAUCCGGGUCAGGGACAGUGUUAGGCGGGUAGUUUGACUGGGGCGGUCGCCUCCUAAAAUGUAACGGAGGCUCUCAAUGGUUCCCUCAGCAUGGUCGGUAAUCAUGCGAAGAGCGUAAACGUAUAAGGGAGCUUGACUGCGAGACAUACAGGUCGAGCAGGAGCGAAAGCUGGAGUUAGUGAUCCGACGGCUGCGCGUGGAAGUGCCGUCGCUCAAAGGAUAAAAGGUACGCCGGGGAUAACAGGCUGAUCUUACCCAAGAGUUCAUAUCGACGGUAAGGUUUGGCACCUCGAUGUCGGCUCAUCGCAUCCUGGGGCUGGAGAAGGUCCCAAGGGUUUGGCUGUUCGCCAAUUAAAGCGGUACGUGAGCUGGGUUCAGAACGUCGUGAGACAGUUCGGUCCCUAUCCUAUGCGGGCGCAGGAUAUUUGAGAAGGGUCGCUCUUAGUACGAGAGGACCGGAGUGAACGUACCUCCAGUACGCCAAUUGUCACGCCAGUGGCAUCGUUGGGUAGCUGCGUACGGUCGUGAUAAGCGCUGAAAGCAUCUAAGCACGAAACACGCUUCAAGAUGAGAUAUCCCUCCUUCGGGACUGAAGGCUCCUCGGAGAUGACGAGGUUGAUAGGCUGCAGGUGUAAGUGUAGUAAUACAUUCAGCUGAGCAGUACUAAUAAGCCGUGAGACUUGCCAUU
Molecule: ribosomal RNA, 3001 nt
Filed under: Cyclobacteriaceae bacterium
Lineage: Bacteria; Pseudomonadati; Bacteroidota; Cytophagia; Cytophagales; Cyclobacteriaceae
Description: 23S ribosomal RNA
Rfam family: Bacterial large subunit ribosomal RNA
Source: RNAcentral